This 288-nucleotide ribosomal RNA is filed under the name uncultured bacterium. Its description in RNAcentral is "partial 16S ribosomal RNA". It matches the Rfam family "Bacterial small subunit ribosomal RNA", at positions 773 to 1060 of the family's 1533-position model. The record is from RNAcentral.
GUGGAUUAGAUACCCUGGUAGUCCACGCCGUAAACGAUGGGCACUAGGUGUGGGAGGUGUCGACUCCUCCCGUGCCGGAGCUAACGCAUUAAGUGCCCCGCCUGGGGAGUACGGCCGCAAGGCUAAAACUCAAAGGAAUUGACGGGGACCCGCACAAGCAGCGGAGCAUGUGGUUUAAUUCGACGCAACGCGAAGAACCUUACCUGGGUUUGACAUGUUCCUGACCGCCCUGGAAACAGGGCUUCCCUUCGGGGCAGGAUCACAGGUGGUGCAUGGCCGUCGCCAGCU